ACGAUCGACGGUUCAGAGGGAAAGGUUUCGUUCUUGAGUGAUUAGGUGUGCAUCUCAGUAUACUGCUCGAUUUAUUGCUGAGACUGUGAAGACCUUUCUUUAUUCACUCAACAACGGGAAGAUACCAAAGAAGAUAUUCAACUCCUACUACAGUUUUCGAGGGUGCUUAUGAGAGUUUGGGCCUUGAUGCUUCUAGUGGGAAAUCAGUUAGCAUGCAGAAGAUAUGGCAUCUAAUUCAGG
Molecule: non-coding RNA, 240 nt
Organism: Camellia sinensis
Lineage: Eukaryota; Viridiplantae; Streptophyta; Magnoliopsida; Ericales; Theaceae
Source: RefSeq, a predicted model, not a curated record